GGUGUUGCACGGCUGUCGUCAGCUCGUGUCGUGAGAUGUUUGGUUAAGUCCUUAAACGAGCGCAACUCUUAUCUUUAAUUUCAAAGUUACUUAUUUUUCAAAAACCGCAGAUUUUUGAAAAAAGCUUUAAAGACACCACCAAUGAGAAGUUGGAGGAAGGUGAGAACCAAGUCAAGUCAAUGUGACCCUUAUAGAUUGGGCUACACAUGUGCUACAAUGAAAAUUACAGAGAGUUACAAAA
Molecule: ribosomal RNA, 241 nt
Filed under: Oxyrrhis marina
Lineage: Eukaryota; Dinophyceae; Oxyrrhinales; Oxyrrhinaceae
Description: partial Bacterial small subunit ribosomal RNA
Rfam family: Bacterial small subunit ribosomal RNA
Source: RNAcentral